This 899-nucleotide ribosomal RNA is filed under the name Thanatephorus cucumeris. Its description in RNAcentral is "eukaryotic LSU rRNA". It matches the Rfam family "Eukaryotic large subunit ribosomal RNA", at positions 37 to 943 of the family's 3401-position model. The record is from RNAcentral. Lineage: Eukaryota; Fungi; Basidiomycota; Agaricomycetes; Cantharellales; Ceratobasidiaceae.
AGCAUAUCAAUAAGCGGAGGAAAAGAAACUAACAAGGAUUCCCCUAGUAACGGCGAGUGAAGCGGGAAGAGCUCAAAUUUAAAAUCUGGCAGCAUUAGUUGUCCGAGUUGUAGUCUAGAGAAGCAUCAUCCGCGCUGGACCAUGUACAAGUCUCUUGGAACAGAGCGUCAUAGAGGGUGAGAAUCCCGUCCUUGACAUGGACUCCCGGUACUUUGUGUUGUGCUCUCAACGAGUCGAGUUGUUUGGGAAUGCAGCUCAAAAUGGGUGGUAAAUUCCAUCUAAAGCUAAAUAUUGGCGAGAGACCGAUAGCGAACAAGUACCGUGAGGGAAAGAUGAAAAGCACUUUGGAGAGAGAGUUAAACAGUACGUGAAAUUGUUGAAAUGGAAACGCUUGAAGUCAGUCGCGUUCUCUGGGAUUCAGCCUUGNNUCUGCUUGGUGCAUUUCCUAGUCUACGGGCCAGCAUGAAUUUUGACCGGUGCAAAAAGGAUUUGGGGAAUGUGGCACUUCGGGUGUGUUAUAGCCCCUUGUCACAUACACCGGUUGGGAUUGAGGUCUUAGUGCACGCUUCGGUUGUGCUUUGAUGCUGGCGUAAUGGCUUUAAACGACCCNGUCUUGAAACACGGACCAAGGAGUCUAACAUGUCUGCGAGUGUUUGGGUGCAAAACCCGAGCGCGAAAUGAAAGUGAUAGUUGGGAACCUUUUCGGAGGGGCACCGACNCCCGGACCAGACCUUCUGUGACGGAUCCGAGGUAGAGCAUAUAUGUUGGGACCCGAAAGAUGGUGAACUAUGCCUGCAUAGGGUGAAGCCAGAGGAAACUCUGGUGGAGGCUCGUAGCGAUUCUGACGUGCAAAUCGAUCGUCAAAUGUGGGUAUAGGGGCGAAAGACUAAUCGAACCAU